Long non-coding RNA from Ictalurus punctatus (channel catfish), 968 nucleotides. NCBI's taxonomy places the organism in Eukaryota, Metazoa, Chordata, Actinopteri, Siluriformes, Ictaluridae. The record is from Ensembl.
GGGUCAGAGGGUUGGAGGGUUCUAGGGUUUUGGAGGGUUUUAGGGUCAGAGGGUUGGAGAGUUUUGGAGAGUUUUAGGGUUGGAGGGUUCUAGGGUUGGAGGGUUUUAGGGCUGGAGGGAUUUGGAGGGUUUUAGGGUUGAAGGGUUUUGGAGAGUUUUAGGGUUGGAAGGAUUUGGAGGUUUUUAGGGUUGGAGGGUUUCAGGGUUUUGGAGGGUUUUAGGGCUGGAGGGUUUUGGAGGGUUUUAGGGUUUCAGGGUUUUGGAGGGUUUUAGGGUCAGAGGGUUGGAGGGGUUUUGGAGGGUUUUAGGGUUGGAGGGUUUUAGGGUUGGAGGGUUUGGAGGGUUUAGGGUUGGAGGGUUUUAUGGUUUUGGAGGGUUUUAGGGUCACAAGGUUGGAGGGUUUUGGAGGGUUUUAGGGUUUCAGGGUUUUGGAGGGUUUUAGGGUCAGAGGGUUGGAGGGGUUUUGGAGGGUUUUAGGGUUGGAGGGUUUUAUGGUUUUAGGGUUGGACAGUUUUAGUAUUUUAGGAUUGGACGGUUUUAGGGUUUUAGGGUUGGACGGUUUUAGGGUUGGACGGUUUUAGGGUUUUAGGGUUGGAGGGUUUUAGGGUUGGAGGGUUUUAGGGCUGGAGGGUUUUAGGGUUUCAGGGUUUUGGAGGGUUUGGUAGGUGGGUUUGGAGGGUUUUAGGGUUGGAGGGUUUUAGGGUUUUAUGGCUGGAGGGUUUUGGAGUUACUGUUACCACACCGACGUUCCAAUAACAGCAUGUCUUGACAUCUUUUAAUCCUCUUCCACCACAGCAACUUGGCCGUGAUUACAUUAGUAAGAUUUAACGUUGUGGAACAUCUACGUAACAGGUUAUUUCCUGUUCUCACUUACAUUAUGGCAGCUUUAAACAGUUUUUCCCUCACCAGCCUCUCUUCUUUUAUUGAGCUGAAAGUUACCUCUUUUUACAAAAAAAAAUCACAUGAUU